GACGAACGCUGGCGGCGUGCUUAACACAUGCAAGUCGAACGGAAAGGCCCUGCUUUUGUGGGGUGCUCGAGUGGCGAACGGGUGAGUAACACGUGAGUAACCUGCCCUUGACUUUGGGAUAACUUCAGGAAACUGGGGCUAAUACCGGAUAGGAGCUCCUGCUGCAUGGUGGGGGUUGGAAAGUUUCGGCGGUUGGGGAUGGACUCGCGGCUUAUCAGCUUGUUGGUGGGGUAGUGGCUUACCAAGGCUUUGACGGGUAGCCGGCCUGAGAGGGUGACCGGCCACAUUGGGACUGAGAUACGACCCAGACUCCUACGGGAGGCAGCAGUGGGGAAUAUUGCACGAUGGGCGGAAGCCUGAUGCAGCAACGCCGCGUGCGGGAUAACGGCCUUCGGGUUGUAAACCGCUUUCGCCUGUGACGAAGCGUGAGUGACGGUAAUGGGUAAAGAAGCACCGGCUAACUACGUG
RNAcentral lists this ribosomal RNA (468 nucleotides) under uncultured bacterium. RNAcentral's name for it is "partial 16S ribosomal RNA". It matches the Rfam family "Bacterial small subunit ribosomal RNA", at positions 28 to 507 of the family's 1533-position model. The record is from RNAcentral.